RNAcentral lists this ribosomal RNA (495 nucleotides) under uncultured bacterium. Its description in RNAcentral is "partial 16S ribosomal RNA". It matches the Rfam family "Bacterial small subunit ribosomal RNA", at positions 28 to 507 of the family's 1533-position model. The record is from RNAcentral.
GACGAACGCUGGCGGCGUGCCUAAUACAUGCAAGUAGAACGCUGAAGGAGGAGCUUGCUCUUCUGGAUGAGUUGCGAACGGGUGAGUAACGCGUAGGUAACCUGCCUGGUAGCGGGGGAUAACUAUUGGAAACGAUAGCUAAUACCGCAUAACAGUAGAUGUUGCAUGACAUUUGCUUAAAAGGUGCACUUGCACCACUACCAGAUGGACCUGCGUUGUAUUAGCUAGUUGGUGGGGUAACGGCUCACCAAGGCGACGAUACAUAGCCGACCUGAGAGGGUGAUCGGCCACACUGGGACUGGGACACGGCCCAGACUCCUACGGGAGGCAGCAGUAGGGAAUCUUCGGCAAUGGACGGAAGUCUGACCGAGCAACGCCGCGUGAGUGAAGAAGGUUUUCGGAUCGGAAAGCUCUGUUGUAAGAGAAGAACGAGUGUGAGAGUGGAAAGUUCACACUGUGACGGUAUCUUACCAGAAAGGGACGGCUAACUACGUG